RNAcentral lists this ribosomal RNA (497 nucleotides) under uncultured bacterium. Its description in RNAcentral is "partial 16S ribosomal RNA". It matches the Rfam family "Bacterial small subunit ribosomal RNA", at positions 28 to 507 of the family's 1533-position model. The record is from RNAcentral.
GAUGAACGCUGGCGGCGUGCCUAAUACAUGCAAGUCGAGCGAACGGACGAGAAGCUUGCUUCUCUGAUGUUAGCGGCGGACGGGUGAGUAACACGUGGAUAACCUACCUAUAAGACUGGGAUAACUUCGGGAAACCGUAGCUAAUACCGGAUAAUAUUUUGAACCGCAUGGUUCAAAAGUGAAAGACGGUCUUGCUGUCACGUAUAGAUGGAUCCGCGCUGCAUUAGCUAGUUGGUAAGGUAACGGCUUACCAAGGGAACGAUGCAUAGCCGACCGGAGAGGGUGAUCGGCCACACUGGAACUGAGACACGGUCCAGACUCCUACGGGAGGCAGCAGUAGGGAAUCUUCCGCAAAGGGCGAAAGCCUGACGGAGCAACGCCGCGUGAGUGAUGAAGGUCUUCGGAUCGUAAAACUCUGUUAUUAGGGAAGAACAUAUGUGUAAGUAACUGUGCACAUCUUGACGGUACCUAAUCAGAAAGCAACGGCUAACUACGUG